This 5514-nucleotide long non-coding RNA is filed under the name Brassica napus (rape). RNAcentral describes it as "long non-coding RNA (BNAP_LNC009340)". Lineage: Eukaryota; Viridiplantae; Streptophyta; Magnoliopsida; Brassicales; Brassicaceae. The record is from RNAcentral.
AGAUUUGGAAGAGCCUCCAGCUUGGAACAGUUUCUUAUCACGAGCUCUUUGACGUUAGCUAGCUCCGACAUUCCUUUAGGCAGCUCGCUUAGAGCCGUACCCGAAAGAUUCACUUUGUGUAAGUAAGACAUCUUCUCAAAGGUACCGUCGAUUUUAGCCAGCUUGUCGCAGCCGGAAACAUCGAAAACCUCAAGGUGUGUUAGCUUCUCCAAAAAAAGAUCGAACCUUUUUUAAAGAUCGGAACUAACUCUAGAUGACCUGAUUGUGUUCAUCGGCGCUGGAAUCUGUUCGGUUCCGCAGAUUCCGCAGCCGUAGCGGAGAUCUAUGAGCUCACACACCUUCUAAAAUUUCAACACGACUAUAAAGGAUUCAACUUUGACGAAAAUAGAAAAUAGAUAUUCUUCUUGAGGAAUAUAAUCACAGAAGAGAGAAAGAGAUAUGUAUAUUUAACAAAAUUAAUUGAAAUAAAAACUAGUCACGCCAAAGACGUAAGUUAUUAUAGUUUGUUGAACAAAUUAACAAAACAUAAUUAAUACUGCUAAUUUAAUUGAUUUGUUUUAUUUAUUUAAUUUAAAGUCAGGCCUAAUCACUUCCUAACGCCCAUUUUGAGUUUGUCGUCAUUAGCUGACGAAGCAAGUCCAUUCUCGAGGUCGCUGACGGCAGGCUUAUUGUGUGUUAGGCAGAUAAGAAGAACACGACGACGUAUUAGCAUAUUAGAUUACGUGUGAACCAUCACAAUACACUUGAACUACAAUCAUUGGCUGAGAUUAGAGUGGUAAUUAAGACAACUAGUUCUUGAAAACAUUCCAAAAGUUUAUUUAUCAGCGAAAUGUUCUUAUGUCAAAACUCAAAAAGUAAGUUCAAAUGUUAACUAAUAAUCUUCAGAUCGGUUAUGCAGUGACCAAAUAUGUAGUACAUGAUUGAAGAUUAGAUUGAAAUGAAAUAAAUCCAUGAUUUUGGUUAUUGGUUUAAUAAGAUGCAAUGAUAGAUUCUAUGAGAUAUUGAAGAGGAGCAAGCAUAUGAAGAUGAAUCCCAUCAGGAGAUUUAACCAAGUUGAAAGUUUUCUGAAAUCAUAGUAUCAUAAAUAGCCAGAUAGUUUAGGGUUUUCGGGUUAAAUAUCAAAAAGGGUUUUUAGAUAAAAAUAUCAGAUAAUCUAUACUAUUAUCUGCGAAGUAAGUUUUUGCAACAAAGCUCUCACGUUAAAAGUUAGAGCGGUUAAUAUCGAUACUACCCUUAAUGAAUAAUUAGAUUUAUUAAUAUAUAAUUCUAUAUAACUAUAAUAAUCAAUCAAUUAACCACAAAUAAAAUAAAAACGUGUUUAAAAUAAUAUAUUCAUGUUUAUCCUUAAUGACUACUCAAAAAGAAGAAAUUAAACCAAUGAUAAAAUAUUUUAUUAGUAUACAUUAGUUUAAUUGGUUGGAUGCAAUACAUUCAUAUAGUAUAAUAAAUUAAUGAUUUUUUCACGCACUGAAAUAUAAUAGAAAGAGAUUUCAUGAUUUUCGUAAAUUUUUACUAAAAUCAAAAACCAUUAUAACGAUCAUGUAUGCAUGUAUCACUGAUUGUUUUUAAAAUAAUUAUAUCUUAGUACCUAUUUUCUUUUACAAAAUUUUAAAGUAUAUAAAAUAGUAAAAUAAGCAUGCCACAAAAUAUCAUUAUUCCAAUUAAUUUUUUAGCUUUUUAUUAUAUAUUUUUAUUUAUGUUUUACUUUUAUUUUGAUUUUGUGUUUUUUGAAAUUUUAAAAAAGGUUUACCUCUAUAUUUUAUUUAUUUGCGUGUAAUUUUUGUAUAUGGUUAUGUUCUCAUAUUUUAAGAAGAUGAAGAUGAAGCAAAAUCUGAUAAAAAGAGUUGAACAAAAUUAAGUGAUUAACAAAACCAAAAACAACUUAUGAGUGUGGUCUUUAAACUUAUAACAUAUAUCUAAUAUUUUGUAGAAAAAGUUAAGUUUGCAUCUGCGGGAAAAACCCCUAAUUAAGUUAUAUAUAUUCUCGUGUUUGGAACUUAUAUGGUAUACUAUUAUAUAUAUAUUAUUACUAUCAAUAAUAUAAUAGUAUAGAUUAAGUUACAUAUACUAUAUAUUAUCAUAUAUUAUGUAAUUAUCCUAUUUAUCAUAUAGUAUGUAAUUAUCUUUUUAACUACAGUAAAAACUCUAUAAAUUAAUAAAUACGUUAAAUUAAUAAUUUUUUCGAUUCCGAAUUGAGCAUGUUCAAAAUAUAAUACAAAUAAAUAAAUUAGUAAUAUUUAAUUAAUAUAUCUAAUACAAAAUCAAAAAUGCUUCUUACUUUAAAAAAUAUAUAUAUUCUAAAAAUAGAAAAAUCUAAAAUAGAAACUUUUUGUAAAUUAAUGACUCUACCAAUUAAUAAAACUUUAUAUCAAUAACUCUACAAAUGUAUUAAUUUUUAAUUGUAAGUCAGUUACUUUGGUAUUCAAUAAGAGCUUUAUUAAUGAUAAUAAACAAGGAAACAACAUAUAUACACAAAUUAAAGGUUUGUGUAACCAAAUUGUGGAAGAUGUGAAGAGCGAAAAGUUAAAAAAAAAUUUAUACAAAUUUUAAUUCUCAAACUAACAUUCUAAAAGAGAUGUCUCUCAUCAAAUAUUUUUUUUUAUGAUAGGCCAGUCUGGAACACAUCUUUUCUCAAAGGCAUUCUUCUGUCUUACUAUGCAUUUAAGAAAUAUUGAGUUCACGAAGACAUGGAUUUGCUAUUAUAAACAUCAUCAUAUUAGAUUUCCCUUAUUUUUAAUUUAUUUUUAUAAAAUUGUAACUAUUGUAUAAAACUAAAUAAUGAAAAGUAGAAUGCUUAUAUCUAGAAAAAAUAUUAAACAAAAAUAUAAAUCGGUAUUAGUUAAAAUUUAAUUGACCAUUUCCUUAUUCAUAUAUAAGAUAGUCUUAUUACAUUUUUAAAUAUCUAUAUAUUUUUGUAGAGUUAAAAGAAAGAAAAUAGAUUCUGAAUUUUCAAGUUUUUCAUAAUAAAAAUAUUUUUUGUAUUUUGUGAAAACUUUUUUCAUGUAUAAAAUGUUUAAAUUUUAAUUUAUUCUAAAAUUUUCGAAUACAUGAACAAUUAUUCAUCUUAAAUUUUUUGAUUGAUUUAUUUUCUUUUGUCAAUAAUCGACCGUAAGAUGAUUAUUACGCAAACUUAAAAAUUAAAAAUUAAUCUAAAUUUUAUUUGUUUAGAUAAAUGAUUAAAGUUAAUAAUAAAAAUUAUCCAAAAGCAUAAAAUAUAUUUUAAGUUAAAAAGAUAAAAUUUAUAUGAUUAGGUAAAUGAUUAAAGUAAUAAUAAAAAUAAUACAAAACUUAAAAAUAUAUUUUAACUUAAAAAAUAUAAUUAAUAUAUAUAUUGUGCUGUUAUUUGAAAAUUAUCUUUUGAUAAAAACUAAAAAAAAAUUAAAAAAAGAAAAAACUAUAACUAAAUAUCAAUCAUGUAAAAUUAUUAAUUUUAUAUAUGAAAAGAGAAUAUCAUGUGAUUUUAAGAUUUAUUUAUUAAUAAUAAACAUAGUGUACAAAGAUACUUUCAAAAUAUUUAGAAUACAUAAAAUUUUUGAAAUGAAAAUAUAAACAAUAAGUUAUCAUUAUAGUAUUUUAGUUAGUAAUGCAUGUAUUAAUAAAAAAACUAUAAAAUGAUUAUGUCUGCAUACGCGGGCAGAACACCUAGUUUUAAAUAUUUAGAUAAAAGUAUUAUGUAAAUUUUUUUAGGUAAUUCGGUUUACGAAUAGUGUUAUUUUAAUAUUUGAUUAUUUAAAAAUUAAAUCUAAUUAUAUAAACUAUUUUAUAGAAAUUUGGGUACUCAUUAUGUUCUCGGUUAGGUUAUAACUUUUUAGUUCUAGAAAUAUAAGAUUAUUUGGAUCAUUCAUAGUAUCUGAAGCUGAUUACUUCCGGAUAAAUGUGCCCUUACUUGGAACAAUUUUGAAUACAAAAUCCAUAUUCUACAUUGGCAGACCAAAAUACGAGAGAAAUUUAUUCAUUUGUAUAUUACAUAACACAACAACAAAGCAAACAUUUUUAAACGUUUGUUACAAGCUCUAUCAAAGUCCAAGACUUUGAAGAUUAUUCAAUCAUUUAUACUGAAAACUCAAAAAAAAAAACAGUGGGAACAACAGGGAGAGAGAUGAUGAUGGGAAAACUUUUGAGUCACACACGGGAGCUUUUAUCUUGUUUCUAAACUGGGCCUGUUGUUUGAAUUUCAGGCGCAGUAUCCCUGCACAGACAGAACAGUAGUGAGUGUGCAACAAACAAAGAUUUUAUAUUUAUCUUUUUCUUGUUUAAGUUUAUACUUACUUGCGAGUCUGAUCCUCCUUUGAAGAUGAAGCUUCUUCUGUCUUCUCCGUUCCUAUCUUCAGCUCCUCAAGUGUAGCUGUAAAUCUCGGACACUUGUCGUUUGUGUAUUUCUCCAGACUCCGAAACUUAACUCCAUCCGACGAUAAAACAGGCAAAUCAAGAAGGUAUAGCUUCCGAAGAUUCGGCAGCUCUCCUGCUUUUUCUACAUCAAACAGUUUCUUCAGCUGAUCACAAAACUUCACACGUAGAACCUCAAGGUUUUCAGGAACCUGAGAGGCUCCCUGGAAGAUCGUUUCGAUGUUUCGACAACAAUCUAUGCUUAGCUUCUUAAGGUUCUUGAAGACGGCGGAUCCUCCAUUACCUCCACUGUCUAGUCUUUUGAGCAACGGAAGAUUCGAGACCCAAAGAAUCUCCAACGACGACGGCGAUGACGACACGAAGAGAUUCUCCAUCUUCUUGCACCUCUCUACCCAACAACCCUUCACGGAACUCAUUUUAAACUUGUCGAGGAUUAAAGAUACGUUCUCCAUUUCAUUAUCUGAAACAGAGACAUACUCUGCUUUGGACAUAUCAUCGUCCACUGGUCUGUUAGUGUCAAAGAUCUGGACACCCUUAGGAACUUCAGGGUCAAGAACUCUGUAUCUAUCUCCGUGAUGAACAAUCUUCUCUCUUUCUUCUCCCGUCUUGUCUGCUAAGCCAGGGAAGCUAGAUCCCUCUGGAUCCUUUUCGAGUUUCUCCUUUAUCUUCCCCCACUCGUCGUCCUCUAAAAACUUCGAAUCCGAGAGAACAAUGCGUUUGGAAGAACAGAGGAUGCUCUGUUUCGGCAACUCCCGAAACGUCUUGACCUUAGUCCCAGAGAGAUUCGCCUCGCAAAGGUAAGACAUAUUCUCGAACGAUCCUUCGAUUUUCUUCAGCUCGCCGCACCCGGAAACAUCCAAGAUCUCAAGAUGGAUCAUCUUCUCAAGAUUUGGAAGAGCCUCCAGCUUGGAACAGUUUCUUAUCACGAGCUCUUUGACGUUAGCUAGCUCCGACAUUCCUUUAGGCAGCUCGCUUAGAGCCGUACCCGAAAGAUUCACUUUGUGUAAGUAAGACAUCUUCUCAAAGGUACCGUCGAUUUUAGCCAGCUUGUCGCAGCCGGAAACAUCGAAAACCUCAAGGUGUGUUAGCUUCUCGAUGCUCGGAAGCUCUUUCAUCGCGGAGCAGUUCCUUAUCAGAAGCUGGUUGAGAUGGACGUCGUCGUUGAUC